This 487-nucleotide long non-coding RNA is filed under the name Anolis carolinensis (green anole). Its description in RNAcentral is "lncRNA (ENSACAG00000041819.1)". Lineage: Eukaryota; Metazoa; Chordata; Lepidosauria; Squamata; Anolidae. The record is from RNAcentral.
AUGCUUUUGUGUUGUGUUGCCAAGUUUCGUAUUUCUGGGGCGUUUAGUUGUGUUGUUAUAGUCAUGAUGCGUUGUUGUGAGUUUUGUGGGUCCAGUGUGGUUUUGUGGUGUGGUUGUGUUGUUACAACUGGGAGGCAAGGCUUUUGCAUUGUUUUGCCAAGUUUUGUAUUUCUGGGGCGUUUAGUUGUGUUUGUGGUGUGGUUGUGUUAUUACAACUGGGAGGCAAGGCUUUUGCAUUGUGUUGCCAAGUUUUGUAUUUCUGGGGCGUUUAGUUGUGGUUGUGUUGUUACAACCGGGAGGCAAGGCUUUUGCGUUGUGUUGUCAAGUUUUAUAUUUCUGGGGCAUUUAGUUGUGUGUCAAAUUUCGUAUUUCUGGGGCGUUUAGUUGUGUUGUUAUAGUCACGAUGUGUUGUUGUGAGUUUUAUGGGUCCGGAUUGUGGUUUUGUGGUGUGGUUGUGUUGUUACAACCUCGGAGUGAAGGCUUUUUG